GUCUGCAACUCGACUACAUGAAGCUGGAAUCGCUAGUAAUCGCGGAUCAGAAUGCCGCGGUGAAUACGUUCCCGGGUCUUGUACACACCGCCCGUCACACCAUGGGAGUCGGAAAUGCCCGAAGUCGGUGACUUAACCGAAAGGAGAGAGCCGCCGAAGGCAGGUCUGAUAACUGGGGUGAAGUCGUAACAAGGUACC
Molecule: ribosomal RNA, 198 nt
Filed under: uncultured bacterium
Lineage: Bacteria
Description: partial 16S ribosomal RNA
Rfam family: Bacterial small subunit ribosomal RNA
Source: RNAcentral